RNAcentral lists this ribosomal RNA (309 nucleotides) under uncultured bacterium. RNAcentral describes it as "bacterial SSU rRNA". It matches the Rfam family "Archaeal small subunit ribosomal RNA", at positions 726 to 1033 of the family's 1478-position model. The record is from RNAcentral.
AGUCAAUAGAUACCCGGGUAGUCCCAGCUGUAAACGAUGCAGACUCGGUGAUGAGUUGGCUAUAUGCCAUCUCAGUGCCGCAGGGAAGCCGUUAAGUUUGCCGCCUGGGGAGUACGGUCGCAAGACUGAAACUUAAGGAAUUGGCGGGGAGCACCACAAGGGUGAAGCCUGCGGUUCAAUUGGAGUCAACGCCGGAAAUCUUACCGGGGGUCGACAGCAGUGUGAAGGUCAAGCUGAAGACUUUACCAGACAAGCUGAGAGGAGGUGCAUGGCCGUCGCCAGCUCGUGCCGUGAGGUAGUCCUGUUAAG